GAUGAACGCUGGCGGCGUGCCUAAUACAUGCAAGUCGAGCGAACAGACGAGGAGCUUGCUCCUCUGACGUUAGCGGCGGACGGGUGAGUAACACGUGGAUAACCUACCUAUAAGACUGAGAUAACUUCGGGAAACCGGAGCUAAUACCGGAUAAUAUAUUGAACCGCAUGGUUCAAUAGUGAAAGACGGUUUUGCUGUCACUUAUAGAUGGAUCCGCGCCGCAUUAGCUAGUUGGUAAGGUAACGGCUUACCAAGGCAACGAUGCGUAGCCGACCUGAGAGGGUGAUCGGCCCCCCUGGAACUGAGCCACGGUCCCGACUCCUACGGGAGGCCGCAGUAGGGAAUCUUCCGCAAUGGGCGGAAGCCUGACGGAGCAACGCCGCGUGAGUGAUGAAGGUCUUCGGAUCGUAAAACUCUGUUAUUAGGGAAGAACAAAUGUGUAAGUAACUAUGCACGUCUUGACGGUACCUAAUCAGAAAGCCACGGCUAACUACGUG
RNAcentral lists this ribosomal RNA (497 nucleotides) under uncultured bacterium. Its description in RNAcentral is "partial 16S ribosomal RNA". It matches the Rfam family "Bacterial small subunit ribosomal RNA", at positions 28 to 507 of the family's 1533-position model. The record is from RNAcentral.